GCCGUGUGUGCGUGGCAGGUCUCUCCAAUGCAAGUGGUGGAGUCAGGAGAUGCCUCUGAAGGGAGCCAGCUCCUUCCCUCGGGGGGAGGCAGCCCAGGCCUGGAGCAGGCUCCAGGUGCAGGAAAAGCCGAGCAGAGCUGGGAGAUGCAGCCAGAGCAGGGGGAUGGAAGGACGAACAGCCCAGGGCUGAUGCUGGAAAUGCUCUCCCUGCUGCCUUCCUGCUUCUGGUGUGUGAGAAGAGCCUGUGCUGCCCGUGGGACUGGGGGAAAAAUCCUGCUGGAGGAGACAGAGGGAUCUCUGCUGUUACCCAGGCUGAGGAAAAGGACGUGGAGAGCAAUGGAGAGACUCCUUCUGUGCUUUCUGGGAUCCCUCUGCUCCUGGAAACGGUGGAGCUGA
RNAcentral lists this long non-coding RNA (396 nucleotides) under Corvus moneduloides (New Caledonian crow). RNAcentral describes it as "lncRNA (ENSCMUG00000017104.1)". Lineage: Eukaryota; Metazoa; Chordata; Aves; Passeriformes; Corvidae. The record is from RNAcentral.